Molecule: unclassified non-coding RNA, 791 nt
Filed under: Anneissia japonica
Lineage: Eukaryota; Metazoa; Echinodermata; Crinoidea; Comatulida; Comatulidae
Description: uncharacterized LOC117119289, transcript variant X8
Source: RNAcentral
GUUCGUCCCAGUUAUAUCACUACUAUUAACUCCAUAAUAAUAAGUUCAGUCAUGCCAAACGAAAGUGCGCAAUUGUUUCACACAGAUUUUUCUACCAAGGUUGAUAACAGAGGGCGUGCUCGGUCUCAUCUUUGCCUACAAUGCAGAAAAUAGAUGUUGGAUGAUAACAGUCAACGUAGUUUCUAUUAUUAUGGUGGUUAUCUCGGUUGUAUGGCUAAUUGGAAGCCUAUCUUUUGCUGGAAUAUUAAUCGCCCUCAAAGUGGGUUGCAGUAAUUGCGGUAAAGAUGACUACCUCUGCAACGAAAAGUGUGGCAUUUAUUUUGAGUAUGUUAUCCCCAGCGCAGUAUUUAUGGUUCUAUUCUCAGCCAUUACUCUUGUGACGUCAAUCGUGCUGGUUGUUUCAUUCUGCACCUGCUGCAGAUCAAACAUGGAUUCUGCUCCAUUAUAAUGCUAGUGUUGGAUCGUUGCUUAUUCUGCUGAACCAAAUGUUACGAUGCAUGUACUGUAGGCCUAAACAUCAACGUGGACGUACAUUAUUGCACCUAUUUUGUAUUAAUUCUUAUUCAAUUUUAGGAAUUAUAAGAAUUAUCAAUCAACCAAGUCUCUUUGCUUUUGUAAAAGGUUGAAUUUAAAUGUGUGAGUUGAAAUUCCUAUCAUUAGGAUACAAUAAUGUGAAACAAGCAAACGUAGGAGGUAGGCCUACAAUAUCGAAUCAGUAAGGCCCAUUGUUGGAUGUAUCGGUAGUUUUUUAUAUGCAAUAUUUCAAUUUUCUAACAUUACUUCAUAUAUGC